Molecule: RNA transcript, 4054 nt
Organism: Epinephelus fuscoguttatus (brown-marbled grouper)
Lineage: Eukaryota; Metazoa; Chordata; Actinopteri; Perciformes; Serranidae
Gene name: E3 SUMO-protein ligase ZBED1-like
Exons: 7
Source: RefSeq, a predicted model, not a curated record
CAAACAAAACCAUGUUAUCACAAUACAACACAAAGGCAACAAUAUGAGUAGGCAACAUGGUAACAUGGUUACAGUCUGUUCAUGUCUGAUAUGUCACCAGAAAACUGACAUGAGAGUCUUUUACAGCGCUACUUUGAGUUCAUGCUGAUAAAAAUAAACAUUGACGUAGCUUGACAGGAGGAUAUGCUCGUUUAAAGCUGGGGUUUAUAAAAGACAUGAAACAUCAGCAAGUGUUUUCACUUACAGACCAGAAUUAUCAAUCCAACCAGACUAGACUUCAUUUUAACAGCUUAUUUGAACAUACUGGCAGUGUUAGUUAUAAACAUAAGAUGGCGCCCCCAGUGCAGACGCCUGUUACAGCAGCUCCUGCUCACCGUCCAGCUUUUCUCUAUGUUUUUCUUUUUAACUUAAUUACUUUGAGUUUUUUUCAGUUUAGCUAGCUAGCACUUAUGUUUUGCUUGGAGAUGAAGACUGCUCUCUUUAUAGCAGUCUUUCUCCCAUUUUUCUUUGGAUAUGAUCGUGUGCUGGGACCAGGCACCCAGCCGUGGCUCCAUUGUUUACACCCGGGACCAGCUGUUAGCGCUACGACACACCGCGGUGCGGCCCAAGGACAGGCACAAUAUUCUCUGUGAGCUGCAGAGAAGGAGACGGUGAUGUUGCGCCGGAAUGCAGCGCCGACACCAGAGGAGAUGGUACAAACCCGUCCUCCCGUACGUCGUUAUGGAGAACAUAAGAUCGCUGCCCAACAAGAUGGACGAGCUGUCGGUACUGACUUGCCAUCAGAGGGAGUACCGGCAGAGCAGCGUGCUGGUGUUUACAGAGACAUGGCUGAAGUACCGGACACGAUCACCGUGCUGGACGGAUUCCAGCUCAUCAGGCACGACAGGACAGCGGACAGCGGUAAGAGGAAAGGACGAGGGCUGGCUGUGUUUGUGAAUGAUAGAUGGUAGGGAUGCACCGAAAUUAAAAUUUGUGGCCGAAGCCGAAUAAUAUUAAACGCUUGGCCGAAUACCGAGUACCGAAUAUCGUUGUUUAGUUUGUCAUUAGUUUUUGCAGAUGAACCCCCUCCAGAUUUGUCACGGUACCAAAAUUGGAUCCCACUGUACGAUACCAAUGAAAAUAUCACGGUUCUGAGUAGUAUCACGAUACCACAGUGAAAAUGAGGCAGAUGUGCCUUUUGUCAUUUAUAAAAAGAUAAAUCACUUUUCUAUAAUACAUCAAUGAUAUUUCAAUGGAAUACGUAAAUUACUUAUUGACUUAUUCAUACUUCGAAAACAGCAUCUAUGAGUGAUGAACAUAGGGGGGAUCAAAAUAAAUUAAAUUAAUAAAAUAAGAAUCAACCAGCCACCCUCCUCCCCUGACAGUCCCUUCAUAAGUAAAGAACAGUCCCUAAAGUGCGGUGAGGUUUGUGGGCCGUGAACGGCUCGUUUCUCCUCUGACACGUCACAUACCUGUGUUCGGCUGGCUCGGCUGUUCAGGUACUUCUGGGCAGUCAUGACACCAAGAAGAGGAUAUUACUGGAGCCGACUUCUCCGCGCCUAGGGCUGGGUACCGAACUUCGGUUCUUUUGUGGCACCGACCGAAAUGCUUCGGUAGUACCUAGUAUUGAAACACGCCUCGUCUUUCGGUGCCAAAUUUCGGUACCCUGAGGUUAAUCACGUGACGAAGACCUGAUACUGCUGCCGGUGAUUGGCUGUAAUGUUACACGUGAUUGCGGCAUGCAGGAAAAAUACGUGGUUGAGACGUCUUGUGGUUACGCCCACAGACGGGGUUCACGUGUCUGUGUUGUGAUAGUGAGCUGUAGUUGUAUGUGUCUCGAAACGGUUAAAAAAUGUCACCGAGCCCGAGGUCAAAAGUGUGGCUCCAUUUUAACAAGAUUGAUGCCAAUAGUGCGCGAUGCAAUAUAUGCAAAAAAGUCUUAAUUGCUAAGGCUGGCAAUACGACUAAUUUGAUGAAACACCUGACCGUGCACGGAAUCAAUUUAAGAGCAGAAAGUUGCUCCGUGUUUGACUGCAAGAAGAGUGGACCGCAGCCAUCCUCCUCUCAGCAUUCAAGUCCGCCUGUGGACGUUACAGAGCCCGAGCGGCCUGGUUCAAAAUAUCCACCACCGGACUCCGCUUCAUCUGAGAGUACCAACGAGGACGCCAUGUCUAGGAUAUCAACAGUAGCCUCUGACCCUGGUGUGAGGGGGACAAGGCCAGCCAGCGUGAAUCCAUUCACAAUGGCAGAAAAAGGAAAGAUGACAAAAGAAAAACAAGAUGAGUGCCACAGGGCAGUCACAAACUUUGUUGUUAAAGGUUUGCUGCCUUUUUCUACAGUGGAGGCUCCAUGGUGGAGGGAGAUGAUAAGAGCCCUAAACCCCAGAUACCAGCCCCCCAGCAGAGACAUGCUGUCAAAUACACUCAUACCUGCAUGGUAUGCAGUAGAAGGAAAUGUCAAGAGAGAAUUGCAAGACGUCAGAGAUGUGGCUGUGACCGCGGAUGGGUGGACCAGUGUGGCACAAGACCACUACUUGACUGUUUCAGUCCACUUUGUGAGAGAGGGUACCAUGAAGGAAAAAAUCCUGCAUACCAGGGCAGUCUACACAUCACAGACAGGGAAUGUAAUAGCUGAGGAGAUAGGGGAUAUUCUUGAUGAAUUCAACAUCAAAGAAAAAGUUGUUGCGAUCACUGUAGACAAUGCAGCUAAUAUGGAUGUGGCAGUAAAAAAGAUGAGCAUUAGAAAAAUUGGCUGCUUUGCUCAUACACUAAACAUUGCUGCUCAAAAGCUGUACACCAUACCUGUCAUCUCAAAGUGGGCAGGAAGAAUCAGAGCUAUGGUGGUGUGGUUAAAGAGGUGCAGCUUGGCUAAACCUGUCCUUAAAGAGAAGCAGCGUCUUCUCGAACAGGUGGAACAGCCUGUUCCUGAUGGUGGAGCGAUUUCUGGAGCAGUUUCCUGCCAUCCAGGCAGCCUCCAUGGACCCUCGGCUAAAAAAAAAAAUCAAUGGAGAAGGACAGGUAUGGAUAAGGAUGGGCAUUGUUAUUACCUCAUUCUUUCAUCAGUGUGAACUAAUGUGCUGGCCUGUGGUCUAGCUAAUAAAACAAUGUGUGUAUUUUUUUCAGACUGGAGAGACUUUCUGAUGAUGAUUAUAGAAAGGCAGAACAGUUCAUCAGAGUAAUGAAGAUACUCUAUACUUCAACCAUCUGCAUCUCCGCUGAAAGGAGUCCAACUUUGGGCCAGAUACUGCCCAUCUUGGGGAAACUCCAGCACUACUUCACAGUCACUGAUGAGGACUCCUCCUUUACACAGACCAUCAAGGACAAGAUCUGGGGUGACCUCUCAAAACGAUACCAAGAUGAGAGCAUCAGGCAGUUCUUGGAGGAGGGCACAGCCUUAGACCCAAGAUUCAAAACGAAAGUGGGCGAUGAAGUGUGGACAAGACUACAAGAGGAGCUGAUAACUAGGAUCUCACAACAGAAUAAAGGUGUGACCCAGGCCCAGCAGAUGGAGCAGGAGCUUGAAGGGACAGCUGGUGACCAUGAUGACAACUCUUCUGAUGAAGACUGUACAGCUGCAGUAACAACACUGAAGAAGCCAAAGCUUUCUGCCCUUGAGGAGCUAUUUGCCGAUGAGGACAUGGCAGUUGAAAUAAGACAAGAGAACACUUUUAGCACCACAGAGAAGAUUGAGGAAGAGAUACAGCGGUACAGAGGUCUGCCAUCUACCCUAACCUCAGUGAAUCCAGUAACCUGGUGGUGGAAUGCAAGGGACAAUAUGCCAAUGCUAUCAGACUUGGCAACCAGGUAUCUCUGUGUGCAAGCAUCAUCCACACUCUCAGAGCGCACUUUUUCUACUGCUGGGGACACCAUCAGCCAGGAGCGGGCCUGUCUGUGUCCUGAGAAAGCAGACAUGUUGAUUUUUCUGAAGAAAAACUGUUAAGUGAAAAAUAUGUAGCAGUGAAUAUUAGAUUGAUUUGUCACUUGUUUGCAAGUGUUCUUUUGCACUGGAAAUUAUUUGUUGUUUAAUUUUUCUGUAAGAAAACUGCUUGGAGUGGAAAACUACCAAAGCUGAAAAA